CACACACACACACACACACACACACACACACACACACACACGCUAUGCAGGUACUUGCUAUUGAGCCACAUCCCAGCCUCUAGUUGCUGUUUAGUGCCUGGUUUAUAGUCACAGCAGCACAAUGUGAAACCAUUUGUGAUGAUUUGUAUAUGCUUGGCCCAGGAAGAAGCACUAUUUGGAGGUGUGGCCUUGUUGGAGUAGGUGGACUUUUUAAGCAUGGACUUUGUUUAAGCAUGCUUUGUUUAAGCAUGGACCCUUCUCCUAGCUGUCUAGAAUCGAGUCUUCCACUACCAGUCUUCAGAUGAAGAUGUAGAACUCUCAGCUCUGCCUGCAUCAUGCCUGCCUGGAUGCUGCCAUGUUCCUGCCAUGAUGAUAAUGGACUGAACCUCUGAACCAGUCAGAAGCAUCCUACCUCUCACUCUCAUCAGCAGCCUUCUCUGCCUCUUCCAGAUUCUGCAGGGCUGUGGCCAGCUGCUCCUGAGCCCGGUCCAGUUCCUCCUCCAGCAGUUGGAUGCGGCGGUUGAGAGCGGCUGCAUCUCCUUCAGCCUGGAAAGUCAGAUAUACACCUUAUAUCUGGGUGAUUAAGAAGAGUCAAGCUGGCAAGCAGUGUCUCCCCACGCCCCAUCCCCUCAGUGACCCUGAUAUCCAGCCACAACCCACCUAGGGACCCAGGCUCAAGGGAAUUCAUACUCAUUUGAAUUUAAAUUUGAUUUUAAAAAUUAUGGAUCUGUGACGCAGGGUCUUGUGCAUUAGCCAGACUGGUCUCCAACUCCUGGUCUUAGGAAUCCUCUUGCCUCAGACUCCCUGGCAAGCCACAGUGCCCAGCCCCUCUGGAGAACACACACCUCAACAACUGAGCAAACUUGUCAGCCCUGAUAUUGUUUUGUCUUCAAGUCACCCACCUUACAGGUGGAAACAAGGAGGUCCCACCAGUGCAGUGGUAUUGUAUAGUGACUUAGGGCUCUGUCACCAAGGGGUGACUUCCCUCUGUCAUCCAGGGAUGGCCGCCCUCAAGGAAGAGCAUGGAAAGUUAGUCACAUGAGACUCAAUUAGCAGCUCCAGGAGACUGAAGCCAAAGGACAAAGAGUUUUAGGUUAGCCUGAACUAUUAUAUAGCAAGAUCUCUGUUAAAAUACCAGAAAAAGGGGGAGCUGGCUUAGUGGGUAAAAUCACUUGCUGCCCAGCAUAAGGACCUGAGUUUAGAUUCUCAAACAGUGUGUGGGUUCAUGAGGUUCAUGAGGAAAUGCAGAGGAAGCCAUGCUACCUACCGGCUUCCUUUCAGGGAUAACCACUACAUGGGGACAGCUAUAAAACUCAGUGUGAGUCUGGGCCCUCUCUACCUCAGUUUACACAGCAGGGAAAGUAUAAAGAACAAGGCCAGGUUGCCUGUCAAUAUACAGAGGAUCCCCCUUGCCCCCCAGUUUGUGAUCUGUGACCACCCUCCCCCAACACCAAUAUGUGUCUGUGCGUCUCAGGUCUCUCUUCCCACAAUGUGGGUCCUGGGGACUGAACUCAGAUCAUCAGCCUUAGUGGCAAGCACCUCUACCCAGCUGAACCAUCUCAGGGGCCCAUGGGUGCCUCUUUUUUAUAUCUUGAACUUCAAUACCUAUCAUAUGCAACAAGUGGGGCAGUAUUGGUUCCCGCCCACUUCAGUUUUUAGUAUAUUUAGCAAAAGUUAUGUAACCAGGACCACUAUCUAAUUUGUUAACUUUUGCCAUUUGCUAAAAAGAACCUUGUGCCCAUCUG
Molecule: long non-coding RNA, 1745 nt
Filed under: Mus musculus (house mouse)
Lineage: Eukaryota; Metazoa; Chordata; Mammalia; Rodentia; Muridae
Description: predicted gene, 26586
Source: RNAcentral